GGGUAUACACGUCUGGGCACUACAAUUACAGAUUGAAACCCAACGAACAUGGCGGCAGUUUAAAUAUUUAGGGGAACUUACUAAGUAAAUGAUAACCACCAAGGAUAUGCACGCUAAAUCACAUUUUACAUACCGUCGUCGCCAGAUCUACUUCGAUAGAAUAUCAUAAUAUUUAAAAUAGAUAAAAGGACAGAUCAAGGUGUAGACAAUUUUAUCGUUUCAGCGAGUUACAAUAUUUUUUGUUUUCGUAACCUAGUUAUAUAACUGCUUAUAGGCGGACUUAAAAGUAAUAUUUAUGGGAAAUACAAUAUGAAUACUCUUAACCUGUGCACACAUCGCCC
Molecule: ribosomal RNA, 341 nt
Filed under: Helix pomatia (Roman snail)
Lineage: Eukaryota; Metazoa; Mollusca; Gastropoda; Stylommatophora; Helicidae
Description: partial 12S ribosomal RNA
Source: RNAcentral